RNAcentral lists this ribosomal RNA (457 nucleotides) under uncultured bacterium. RNAcentral's name for it is "bacterial SSU rRNA". It matches the Rfam family "Bacterial small subunit ribosomal RNA", at positions 340 to 786 of the family's 1533-position model. The record is from RNAcentral.
UACGGGAGGCAGCAGUGGGGAAUAUUGCACAAUGGGCGAAAGCCUGAUGCAGCUAUGCCGCGUGUAUGAAGAAGGCCUUAGGGUUGUAAAGUACUUUCAUCGGGGAGGAAAAAACAAAACUAAUAAUUUUAUUUCUUGACGUUACCCGAAAAAGAAGCACCGGCUAACUCCGUGCCAGCAGCCGCGGUAAUACGGAGGGUGCUAGCGUUAAUCAGAAUUACUGGGCGUAAAGAGCACGUAGGUGGUUUUUUUAAAGUCAGAUGUGAAAUCCCUGGGCUUUAACCUGGAACUGCAUUUUGAAACUGAAAUACUAGAGUAUCGUAGAGGGAGGUAGAAUUCUAGGUGUAGCGGUGAAAUGCGCAGAUAUCUGGAGGAAUACCUGUGGCGAAAGCGGCCUCCUAAACGAAUACUGACACUGAGGUGCGAAAGCGUGGGGAGCAAACAGGGAUUAGAUACC